AAAUAAACAAAACUCGUAUAAAUAAUUCAUUGCAUAUUGUGGUCAUCAAUUAUGCAAAUUAACUUAUUGACAGAUUUUGAGCAGUCAUGCCAGAUUUACUAGUGUGCCAACAAAAGAAAAUAUCUGCUCAGUAAGAAAUAAAUGUCAAUGGAAAAUAUGCAUUGAGCUAAAGUCAUAUAUUCAAGGCUAUUAAAUUUACAAAAUAAUAAAAUAAGAAGAACGAGUG
This 226-nucleotide long non-coding RNA is filed under the name Mytilus galloprovincialis (Mediterranean mussel). Lineage: Eukaryota; Metazoa; Mollusca; Bivalvia; Mytilida; Mytilidae. The record is from RNAcentral.